GUUCUCGUGUCAGCUGCACAGAUUCUAAAACUGGAACAGUAUGAAGAAGAUUAGCCCCUAAGCAAGGAGGACAUGCAAAUUCAUGAAGUGUUUCAUAUUUUA
Molecule: small nuclear RNA, 102 nt
Organism: Meriones unguiculatus (Mongolian gerbil)
Lineage: Eukaryota; Metazoa; Chordata; Mammalia; Rodentia; Muridae
Source: Ensembl